GAAUGAUAUAAUAUUGCAGUUUUACACUUUGGAGUCAUUAUUUGACAUAUAGUAAAGCAGGUGUUAUGUAGGUACGGUGUGAUGGAAAGUAUAGAAACCCACUGUCCUGUACAAGGUGUGGGUUAAAGUGGCAUGUGUGUAUUUGUACAGCUGGUGUCUGAAUUAUUCGUAGACCGGAGAAAAGCUCCCCUGAAAACCACAGCUGUGAUUCUGUAAGUGUAAUACUACUAAUAGUAAGUACUUCUGGGAACAUCUCUUUGCAUCCUUUAAACAUUAGUUUAAAACAAAAAAAGGAUCUGAAUGUUUUUGGAUGCAAUCAUCUACCACGUGGCUUUGUACUGUUGUGUUUGUGAGCUUAAUAAAUAACUAAGAGUGAAACAAACUUUCUCAUUUUUAUCCAUUUAGGUUCCCUUUAUUUGAGUUUGAAAAAUGAAAAUCAGGGAUUUUAUGAGAAACAGACUCCAAAUCAGUACUGCAUGUCCUAUUUUAUUAAACUUAUAUUCUUCUUUAUAUUAUAUUCUUCUUUUUCUAGGUGAGGUUUUUUUAUUUUGUUGUAUUUAGCAGGUGUUGAGAAAAAACUCCUCUGGAAUUGUGUAAAAGUAAAAGUUUAAACAUUUUAACAUUUAAAAUGUUAAAAUGUUCAAUGUUCACCUUAAAAAAGGUGAACAUUGAACAUUUUAACAUUUUAAGGCCAAAUAUAGGGUAACGUGCUUGUCCAUCCCAUAAUAUCACCGAUGAGAGCGGGAUUUGUUUUGUUUCAACCGGACGCGGAUUGGCCCAUCUAUACACCCAUACAUGUAUGUACCUUGCUUACAUAAACACCACAGAAGAAGACGUAUCCUAAAGAACCCAUUUUAAUAAUGUGGACUGGAGCGACCAUGAACCGUUCCCCGCCAGUCCUCAUCACUCAUCCCGCAGUUUCCUCCCGCACAUUCUGCAGAAGACGCUCCAUGGGCCAUGGAUGUGUACUUAUCUGGCUUGUUGUUCAGCCUGGAGCUCUGCGAAUAAACACAGACGAGGAAGUGCAAGGGAUUGGAUCCAUAAUGGCAGCAGCAGUGGAAGGCACCCUGUGUCUCUCUCAUCAUUGCAUAGGUUGUCCAGCACUGUGGCUCCAGACCAGUUUACGCAAAACAAUCAAGCCAAGGUGGACGGUAGGAACUAAGCAGCGGGGGUGGACUUCCUUAAUGGACCUGGUUCAAAUGUAG
Molecule: long non-coding RNA, 1205 nt
Filed under: Betta splendens (Siamese fighting fish)
Lineage: Eukaryota; Metazoa; Chordata; Actinopteri; Anabantiformes; Osphronemidae
Description: lncRNA (ENSBSLG00000009597.1)
Source: RNAcentral